Molecule: ribosomal RNA, 503 nt
Filed under: uncultured bacterium
Lineage: Bacteria
Description: partial 16S ribosomal RNA
Rfam family: Bacterial small subunit ribosomal RNA
Source: RNAcentral
AUUGAACGCUGGCGGAAUGCUUUACACAUGCAAGUCGAGGGGUAGCAGGAUUAAGCUUGCUUAAUUGCUGACGACCGGCGCACGGGUGCGUAACGCGUAUGCAACCUACCUUAUACUGGGGUAUAGCCCGGAGAAAUUCGGAUUAAUCCCCCAUAGUACUAAUGAAUCGCAUGGUUUAUUAGUUAAAGCAUUGCGGUAUAAGAUGGGCAUGCGUCCUAUUAGCUAGAUGGUGAGGUAACGGCUCACCAUGGCUACGAUAGGUAGGGGGCCUGAGAGGGUGGUCCCCCACACUGGUACUGAGACACGGACCAGACUCCUACGGGAGGCAGCAGUGAGGAAUAUUGGUCAAUGGGCGCAAGCCUGAACCAGCCAUGCCGCGUGCAGGAAGAAUGCCCUAUGGGUUGUAAACUGCUUUUAUUUGGGAAUAAACCUCUUUACGUGUAGAGAGCUGAAGGUACCAAAUGAAUAAGCACCGGCUAACUCCGUGCCAGCCGCCGCAGUAA